Globicephala melas (long-finned pilot whale) is the source of this 1621-nucleotide non-coding RNA. NCBI's taxonomy places the organism in Eukaryota, Metazoa, Chordata, Mammalia, Artiodactyla, Delphinidae. The record is from RefSeq and is a predicted model, not a curated record.
GCUCCCCGCGGCUCCACUGCGGCGGCUCCACUGCGGCCGCCCCACCAGGCCCUCCGGCUCCUCUCUCAGAGGGUGGCCGUGGCCUGUGUCCCUCAGCCCGUGUCCCAGGGCCUGGCCAUCCUGGCUCCGUGUGGCAAUGGCAACUGGGCUCAGAGGCCAACCGACCCGGCACAGGGCCCAGCCCAGGCCCUCUGGGAGACGUUCAAAAAAGGAAAAGAAGGAACCGUGAAACCUCGCAGAGUCAGGUGCCCAGCAUGCCACAGGCAUGAACAUUUAAGAUGCAGAGAGGCUUCCCUGGUGGUGCAGUGGUUAAGAAUCCUCCUGCCAAUGCAGGGCACACGGGUUUGAGCCCUGGUCCGGGAAGAUCCCACACGCCACGGAGCAACUAAGCCCGUGCGCCACAGCUACUGAGCCUGUGCUCUAGAGCCCAUGAGCCACAACUACCGAGCCCGCGAGCCACAACUACUGAAGCCCGUGCGCCUACAGCCUGUGCUCGGCAACAAGAGAAGCAACCGCGAUGAGAAGCCCGCGCAUCGCAACGAAGAGUAGCCCCCGCUCGCUGCAACUAGAGAAAAGCCCGCGCGCAGCAACAAAGACCCAAUGCAGCCAAAAAUAAAUAAAUAAAAUAAAUAAAUUUUUUUAAAAAAUAAGGAAAAGAAGGACUUCCCUGGUGGUCCAGUGGUUAAGAGUCUGCGCUUCCACUGCAGGGGGCGUGGGUUCGAUCUCUGGUUGGGGAAAUUCCGCAUGCUGCGAAGUGAGGCAAAAAAAAAAAAAAAAAGAUAAAGAAGAUCUGGUCUUGAUUCAGAGGAGAGGAGCCCUCAAGACCAGCUCCACGCAAUAAAAAGUGAAUUCACAUGAGUGACAGUAACAAGAAACAGGUGGCUCAGUUCUCAGCGGCGAGGAGGGGCCCUACGGGUGGUGCCGCUGUGGACCCUUGCUGGGGUUCGGGAGCCUGUUAGAAAUGCAGAACGCCAACCAAAGACUCACUGGCCACCCUGGUGAUCCCAGGGCACCUUUGCGUUCCCAAGCCUGGGGCCGGAGGCCUCUUGGUGGUGGGGAGAUAUACCCAGGAAAUGCCUUUUUUAAAAAAAAUACAUAUUUUAACAUUUUAAUUGUUAAAUGUAGCAUGCAGAAAAGAGCACAGACUUGUCAUGGUCCUUUUUUUUAAUAUGUUUAUUCAAUGUUCUAAAUAAAGAAAGAUUAAACUUAAAAAUCACUAAAAAAAAAUCACUGUCAUGAACGUUACCCUUUAUUAUAAUAUUGUGCAGGGCAAGUUUUAAAGCAGAUAUAAGGGCGGUGACCUCACUGCAGACGCCGAAGCCACACAGUAUUUUGUAGCUCGUGGGGGUGUAUUUCGUUCCUACCUGAGUGGUGAAACGCUGCACCAAACUAACUCAGUUGUUUUUAUUUUUCAUUGUGGUAAAAUAUACGUAACAUAAAAUUUGCCGUUUAACCACUGAGUAUACAGCUCAGGGGCAUUAAGCACACCCACCUUGGGGCUUCCCUGGUGGCGCAGUGGUUAAGAAUCCGCCUGCCAAUGCAGGUAACACAGGUUCAAGCCCUGGUCUGGGAAGAUCCCACAUGCAGCGGAGCAACUAAGCCCGUGUGCCACAACUACUGA